CACGUAGGGUGCGAGCGUUGUCCGGAAUUAUUGGGCGUAAAGAGCUCGUAGGCGGUGUGUCGCGUCGGCCGUGAAAACCUGCAGCUUAACUGUGGGCUUGCGGUCGAUACGGGCAUCACUGGAGUUCGGCAGGGGAGACUGGAAUUCCUGGUGUAGCGGUGAAAUGCGCAGAUAUCAGGAGGAACACCGGUGGCGAAGGCGGGUCUCUGGGCCGAUACUGACGCUGAGGAGCGAAAGUGUGGGAGCGAACAGG
This 253-nucleotide ribosomal RNA is filed under the name uncultured bacterium. Its description in RNAcentral is "partial 16S ribosomal RNA". It matches the Rfam family "Bacterial small subunit ribosomal RNA", at positions 524 to 776 of the family's 1533-position model. The record is from RNAcentral.